UCCGGGCGCGUGGAAUUCAGAACCGACGGGUGGUCGUCGCGCUCGCGCGACGGUUUUUCGUCGAUUCGAUAUUUCCGCCGCCGACCCGUAGAAACGGGUGCGGACGUCGCGACCCGUUCGUCGUCGAUCUGACGAGUCGCGUUUCCAGUUCGAGACGCGCGGUUUUCGUUCGCGUACGUUUAGGCGUGCGUGGGUGCGCGCGUCGCGAAGGCGCGAUACUCGGAUCGGCGUGCGCGGACGGUAGCUGUAAACGCGCGGGUAAUCGACGCCGACGGUUGUGUGAUGGUAAAAUAUUAUACGCGUUCGAGCGUCGACGCCGGUCAGCGACGAAUCUUCGGGCCUCUUUCCGACCCGUCUUGAAACACGGACCAAGGAGUCUAACGUGCGCGCGAGUCGCGGGGUACUCGAGUCGUUAAUUUUUUUUUUUUUUUUCGAGAAAGAAAAAAAAAAACGCGACUCGUUACGCGAACGAAACCCGUUAUACGUACGUUGUGCGAAGGCGUAAUGAAAGUGAGGCGACGCGUUUCGGCGCGCCGCCGGGGAAGACGGUGGUAUCUCCGUGUACACGUUCCUCGGUUCACACACGCUUGUAACCGGGGCCGGACACCCGCAUUCCCAGGGCGUCCCGAUCGUCCGUCGACGGCGCGGACGUGCGUUGCUUUUCGGAGUCGCGCGCGUCGACCGUCGACGAACUGGGGCGCACCUAUAGCGUGCACGUUGGUACCCGAAAGAUGGUGAACUAUGCCCGGCCAGGAUGAAGUCAGGGGAAACCCUGAUGGAGGUCCGCAGCGAUUCUGACGUGCAAA
RNAcentral lists this ribosomal RNA (806 nucleotides) under Cryptes utzoni. RNAcentral describes it as "partial 28S ribosomal RNA". It matches the Rfam family "Eukaryotic large subunit ribosomal RNA", at positions 436 to 897 of the family's 3401-position model. Lineage: Eukaryota; Metazoa; Arthropoda; Insecta; Hemiptera; Coccidae. The record is from RNAcentral.